CUUCAGGUCCCUGUUCGGGCGCCAGUUGCCGGGGGCCAGCCUCAGCAAAGAACAGGGUCACCAGAGGAAGG
This is a microRNA precursor of Loxodonta africana (African savanna elephant), 71 nucleotides long. NCBI's taxonomy places the organism in Eukaryota, Metazoa, Chordata, Mammalia, Proboscidea, Elephantidae. The record is from Ensembl.